AACAGUUUAACCAUAAUAAUCUUUUGCACUUUUAUUGUAUUUUAGAAAUAUCCAAGGACUCUCAUAUUAAUUAAUUCCUUGUAGCCCCAAACAGUUUUUGGCUAUAGAGGCUAAGCCCCAUAUUACAGUUGAGGAUAUGGAAGUUGAAAGAAAUAAAAAGAUGGCUCAAGUUUAUAUAAGUAGUAUAUAUCAAAAACCUUCAUGUUUUUUUCCAGUCUCCUAGUGCAAUGUUGAUUCUGCUUUACCACAUAUGUAUUUUAGAAAGAUGUCAGCUUUGUUGCUUAAUUACAAUAUAUAAAAGGUAGGGGUCCUCUUUUAUUUAAGCAUUCCAGUGAACUUUAAUAACAGAAAUGCUGAGAGAAGGGUUUGUUCUAGCGAACUGAGAAUUAAGAAGAAAAGUCCUGCAUUGUUAGAUCUUAAUGAAGUAAAGUUUAAAUGAGAUAGGUCCAUUUCCUGUGGUAGGGAGUAGAGGAUAACUCAUCAUAACUCGCUCUCUUUGAUACCCCAUGAUCAUCAUUUUGAAGACUGCAGUUCUCAUCUCAUAGGCCUGCAGAUAGUAAUGUACAAAGAAACAAGAGAUGAAAUAAUUGUUCCCUGAACCACUUGUUCCCCAAAUUCUCUUAUAAACAAGUCACCUUAUGUCACCCUAUAUACUUUACAAAUGUCUCCUCUUCUAAAAAUGGAAUUAAUGGCCUUGGCUAGUCAUGACUUCACUCUGCUGUCCUGUGAGGCCCAGAUCUGUAUAACACUAGGCUUGUCCACACCCAGCACGAAGUGAGUUAUAUGUGUAGAUAUCUGCCCCUCACUCACAGCUAUAGGAGGAGUUCCUGUUUAUAGAGUAGGAAGUGGUUUGGAAGAAGCAGAGCACAGACUUAUUAAUUUCAAUAAAUAUUGAAUCAUCCCAUCUAUCCAUCAUCCCAUAUAGCCCAGCACAUGGUAAUGAUAAUUCUUUCAACAAAUACUUACCAAGAAUGUGCUCUAUUUUAAGAGUUGUGCUAGCAAUGGAUGCUGGGAAUAGAGCAAGUAACUUGUUUGAAAUGUGAAGGAUGUACAGGAGUCAGCUAUACACAAGAGAAAAGAGGUAGAGCUUAUAAUUCAAGUGAUAUUUAAACUGAAACUAGUUGACUGAUAUGAUCCCAUAGUUAAGUGUGCUUUAUGGUUUGAGUCCUAGUUGAGUUUAAUGAUUUUGGUUUGAAUCCUAGUUGAGUUUAAUGAUUUUGCCCUUUUUUCCAGAGCUGGAUAAAAAGAGGAGAGCUAGAAAUAUCUUGACAUUGGGAGAGAUUCAUAAAUUCUGUGAAUGUAGAAUAAUAAAUUCUCUUUUAUCCACAACCCUAUUUUAAGCAUCACAACUCUAUUUCUUUCAUUGCUGGAUAAUUAUGGCACAGGCUAAUACAGCAAAGGCAAUACAUGGGCACUUCCUUUCUGUCCAUUGCAAGUCUGAGUGUUCCCCAUUCUUUAGAGCAGGCCAGUGACUGCAAAAUUAUGCAUAAGUAAACCCCUUUGAAAGUUCCUGAAGGACUUCAUUGUUUUAUUGAGAAAACAAAAGCAUUGGCUAUUUCUGGUAUUUUUGCUCAAUAAUGUCUAUACAUGCAAAUGUGAGAUAUUUCAUAUAAACAUGUACGUAUGUUAAGUAUGUAUAUGUUUAUGGGCAUGUGUGUAUAUAAUUUAAAACGUUAGUUUUGUUUUCAAUGUAUCAAUGAAACUUUAAGAUCUCUAAGUACAGGAAAGAGUUCAUUUUUGCAAGUCAUAUGAAGAGAAAUACUGAAAAUUUUCAUGUUUCAGAUUUCCCAUCUUCUAGGAGUACUACACGCAGUUAUUUCUAUAAAGUAAAUUAAAAGCUCCGCUUCCCUAAGAAAGCUCAGUUCAAACAGGCGACCAGGUCCUCUUCCGUAAGGGUUCUUGGAUGACGUCAAUCGUCAAAUACUGGGGAGAAACAUCAGGAACAAACGGGUAACAGAAAUGUGGCAGAAGCAAUUUUCUCCCUAUCAUUAGAUCCUGCCAUUGUUAUCACAGCAGGAGUAUUUUCAGAAGAUGAAUCUCGUUUGGGGUUUUCUAAGUGUCUGAGCUUGAGGAGUUUUUCCAUACAUCUAUGGAUGUGUUUCCCAGCAGUGGUGUCAGGUAUGCUUGUGCUUAAAUAUGCUAAUGGGAGCACCCCAGCUGGGAGGGGAUGCUGCAGGUGCAGAGGAGCGGAGGGGGACCCGCUGGAGCUGCUCCUGGAGCAAACGGAGGUGUGAGGUCGCAUCUCAGGUAGAGAGGAG
Molecule: long non-coding RNA, 2258 nt
Filed under: Homo sapiens (human)
Lineage: Eukaryota; Metazoa; Chordata; Mammalia; Primates; Hominidae
Description: HSALNT0196681
Source: RNAcentral